UUUUACACUAAAAGGCCUUUAUUUCCAUAGAUUGGAGCCUUAUAAAAACCUUUAUUUUUGUUCAGGCCUGCUAGGAGGCCUGAAAAAAAGAAAAACCUUCUGACCUCUCUAGAGGCCAUAUUUUUCAUGAGAUCUUCAUGAAAAUUGGUGAGAAUUCACCUAGAUGAUACCUAGGUCAAGUUCAAAACUGGGUCACAUGCCUUCAAAAACAAGGUCAUUAGGUCAAAUAAUAGAAAAACCUUGUAACCUCUCUAGAGGCCAUAUUUUUCAUUGGUCAGAAUUUUUAUCUUGAUGAUAUCUAGGUCAAGCUUAAAACUGGGUCACAUGAGCUCAAAAACUAGGUCACUAUGUCAAAAAAAUAGAAAAGAUGAUGUCAUACUCAGUUCAAAACUGGGUCAUGUUGGGACAGGUGAGCGAUUCAGGGCCAUCAUGGUCCUUUUGUUACAUUAUGUCAUCUUAAGUGUUGAGCGGAAAUUUGUUAUGAUUUCUUAUACAAAUUUUGCACAUGUAAACUAAACAAUUUUUACAGUAUCUAGCAGCUUCCACGUGCUUUCCGUCUUUUUCACAUUGCGAACAUGGAAAGUCAUAAAACGUUUCAUGUCCGCCCUCUAAUGUUGUAGAAAAAUCUCCGGUAGCCAGAGUGAAUUAUCUGGUGACAUAUGUUUGUUUUUGAGUGUGAACGUUUAAGUAAAACAUAAUUUGCUAUACAUUUUAUUGAUUCUAAUAUAUCCUUUAUUUAAAACAGAAGAUAAGAUAUAGCACCUUUCUUUCUUGGUGGCAACAAAAACAUUGGUAUCCUUGCUCGGUAACACGACUUAAUUUUAGUGCAAGCGCGUUUUAACAGAAACAAGCAUAUUAGAAUAGGUGAUAAUGCCCACAAUAAGUAAUGUAUCUGUCAAAACACUUGUAAUAUUGCCUGUAAGAAGUAAUUAAUAUACUGUUGUAAAAAGUAAUAUGUCAUUUUCUUUACUAGUAAAAAGCCACAGACUUCUUUAAGAAGUACUACUUAAUUAAAAUCCUUGGUAAAUAAGACAUCUAAAACAUUGUGUCAUUUGAAUUUUGCAAUGUUAUGAAGGAAAUAUUUUGGUUUUUUAGCUCACGUGUCACAAAAUGACAAGGUGAGCUUUUGUGAUCAAGCAGUGUCCGUCCAUGCAUAAACUUUUGCUUGUGACCACUGUAGAGGUCACAUUUUUCAUGGGAUCUCUAUGAAAGUUGGUCAGAAUGUUCAUUUUGAUGAUAUCUAGGUCAAGUUUGAAACUCGGUCAGGUGCGGUUCAAAACUAGGUCAGUAGGUCUAAAAAAUAGAAAAAUCUUGUGACCUCUCUAGAAGCCAUACUUCUCAAUGAAUCUUCAUGAAAGUUAGUCAGAAUGUUCACCUUGAUGAUAUCUAUGUCAAGUUUGAAACUGGGUCACAUGCCUUCAAAAAUUAGGUCAGUAUGUCAAAUAAUAAAAUAACCUUGUGACCUCUCUAGAGGCCAUAUUUUUCAUGGGAUCGUAUGAAAGUUGGUCUUAAUGUUCAUCUUGAUGAUAUCUAGGUCAAGUUUGAAACUGAUUCACAUGCCAUCAAAAACUAGGUCACUAUGUCAAAAAAAUAGAAAAAAUACUCAGUUCAAAACUGGGUCAUGUUGGGACAGGUGAGCAAUUCAGGGCCAUCAUGGUCCUUUUGUUACAUUAUGUCAUUUAGUGUUGAGCGGAAAUUUGUUAUGAUUUCUUACACAAAUUUUGCACAUGUAAACGAAAUAAUCUUUACAAUAUCUAGCAGUUUCCACGUGUUUUCCAUUUACUUCACAUUGCGAACAUGGAAAGUCAUAAAACACCUCAUGUCCGCCCUCUAAUGUUGUAGAAAAAUCUCCGGUAGCCAAGUGAAUUAUUUGGUGACAUAUGUUUGUUUUUGAGUGUGUUAGUUUAAGUAAAACAUAAUUUUGCUAUACAUUUUAUUGAUUCUAAUAUACCCUUUAUUUAAAACAGAAGAUAAGAUAUAUCACCUUUCUUUCUUGGUGGCAACAAAAACAUUGGCGUCCUUGCCCGGUAACAGGACUUAAUUUUAGUGCAAGCGUGUUUUAACAGAAACAAGCAUAUUAGAAUAGGUGAUAAUGCCCACAAUAAGUAAUGUAUCUGUCAAACCACUUGUAAUAUUGCCUGUAAGAAGUAAUUAAUAUACUGUUGUAAAAAGUAAUAUGUCAUUUUUAGCUCUUCUGAUUUUUUGAAGAAAAAAAAUGAUGAGUUAUUGUCAUCACUUGAGCGGUUGUCGGCGUCGGCGUUGCCUGGUUAAGUUUUAUGUUUAGGUCAGCUUUUCUCCUAAACUAUCAAAGCUAUUGCUUUGAAACUUGGAAUACUUGUUCACCAUCAUAAGCUGACCCUGUAUAGCAGGAAACAUAACUCCAUCUUGCUUUUUGCAAGAUUUAUGGCCCCUUUUGUACUUAGAAAAUAUCUGUUUCUUGGUUAAGUUUUAUGUUUAGGUCACGUUUUCUCCUAAACUAUCAAAGCUAUUGCUUUGAAACUUGGAAUACUUGUUCACCAUCAUAAGCAGACCCUGUACAUCAAGAAACAUAACUCCAUCUUGCUUUUUGCAAGAAUUAUUGCUCCUUUUAGACUUAGAAAAUCAGUUUUCUUGGUUAAGUUUUAUGUUUAGGUCAGCUUUUAUCCUAAACUAUCAAAGCUAUUGCUUUAAAACUUGCAACACUUGUUCACCAUCAUAAGCUGACCCUGUACAGCAAGAAACAUAACUCCAUCCUGCUUUUUGCAAGAUUUAUGGCCCCUUUUGGACUUAGAAAAUAUCAGAUUUCUUGGUUAAGUUUUAUGUUUAGGUCAACCUUUUCUCUUAAAAUAUCAAAGCUAUUGCUUUAAAACUUGCAACUCUUGUUCACCAUCAUAAGCUGACCCUGUACAGCAAGCAACAUAACUCCAUCCUGCUUUUUGCAAUAAUUAUUGCCCCUUUUGGACUUAGAAAAAUCAUUUUCUUGGUUGAAUAUUAUGUUUAAGUCAACUUUUCUCAUAAACUAUCAAAGCUAUUGCUUUAAAACUUGCAACAGUUUUUCACCAUCAUAAGUGGACACUGCACAUCAAGAAACAUAACUCUAUCCUGCUUUUUGCAAGAAUGAUGGCCCUUUUUAGACUUAGAAAAUCAUGGGUAGGACAAUAUUUCUAUUAUACAAAAAAAAUCAGAUGAGCGUCAGCACCCGCAAGGCGGUGCUCUUGUCUUUACUAGUAAAGAGCCGCAGACCUCUUUAAGAAGUACUACUUAAUUAAAAUCCUAUGUAAAUCUUAUGUAGAUAAGACAUCUAAAACAUUGCGUCAUUUGAAUUUUGCAAUGUUAUGAUGAAAUAUUUUGGUGUUUACAUUAUGUUAUCUUAAGAUUUUAUGUGUAAAUCUGAACCAGCUUAGAUGAGGUGUCUUACAAUUUCUUAAGCAUUGUAUCUAGAUUUCUCACAUUAUAGAAUACAUUAUAUGACAACUCUGUGUUUCUACCAGUUAAAUGUAUGUCUCAGUUAAUUGUAAUUCUAAUUCAGAUAUACACAAACUUUGCACUAGGAAAAUCAAAAUAAAACUGCAAGGUAAAAUUGCAAGGUGCAAGGUAACUAGUUUUUUUGUAGAGAAUAUUGAAAGAUGUUACUUUUUAGCUCCACUAUUCGUAGAAUGGGGGGGCUAUACUACUCGCCCCAGCGUCAGCGUGACCCUUCUUUGUUAAAGUUUUUUGGCAACCUUUGUUUUUAGCCCACCAUCAUCAGAUGGUGGGCUAUUAAAAUCACUCUGCGUCCGUGGUCCGUCCGUCAUUCCGUCCGUCCGUCCGUUAACAAUUUCUCGUUAUCGCAUCUCCUCAGAAACUACUGGGGGGAUUUUGACCAAACUUUGUCAGAAUGAUGUAUUGGUACCCUAGUUGUGUCCCCCUGAAAAUCAGACUGGUUCAACAAUUUAUGAGUGAGUUAUGGCCCUUUGUUUAUUUUUAUAAUUUAUAUAGAUUUAUAUAGGGAAAAACUUUGAAAACCUUCUUGUCCAAAACCACAGAGCCUAGGGCUUUGAUAUUUGGUAUGAAGCAUCAUCUAGUGGUCCUCUACCAAGAUGAUUCAAAUUAUUUCUCUGGGGUCAAAUAUGGCCCCGCCCUGGGGGUCACAUGGUUUAUAUAGACUUAUAUAGGGAAAAACUUUGAAUAACCUCUUGUCCAAAACCACAGGGCCUAGGGCUUUGAUAUUUUGUAUGUGACAUCAUCUGGUGGUCUUCAACUAAGAUUGUUCAAAUUAUACCCCUAGGGUCAAAUAUGGCCCCGCCCUGGGGGUCAUAUGGUUUACAUAGACUUAUAUAGGGAAAAACUUUGAAAAUCUUCUUGUCCAAACCACAAAGCCUAGGGCUUUGAUACUUGUAAUGUAGCAUCAUCUAGUGGUUCUCUACCAAGUUUGUUCAAAUUAUCCUCCUAGGGUUAAAUAUGGCCCCGCCCCGGGGGUCACAUGGUUCAUAUAGACUUAUAUAGGGAAAAGCUUUUAAAAUGUUCUUGUCAGUAACUACAACAUUCAAACUUGGACCACAUGUAUAUUUUUAGUGGCAAGAUGAACCUUGACAUGAGUUGACCUUGAUUUUGACCUAGUGACCCACUUUCACAUUUCUGUAGCUACAGCCUUCAAAUUUGGACUACAUGCAUAAUUUUAUGCACUGGAAAAAACUUUGACCUUUAUUUUGACCUAGUGACCUACUUUCACAUUUUUGAAGGUACAGGCAUCAAAUUUGGACCAUAUGCAUAGUUUCGUGUUUCAAAAUGAAAUUUGACAUUGAUUUUGACCUAGUGACCUACUUUCACAUUUCUCAAGCUACAGCCUUCAAAUUUGGACUACAUGCAUAGUUUUGUGUACCGAAAAAAACUUUGACCUUGACAUUGACCUAGUGACCUACUUUCACAUUUUUGAAGGUACAGGCUUCAAAUUUGGACCACUUGCAUAGUUUUGUAUUCUGAAAUAAAAUUUGACCUUGAUUUUGACCUAGUGACCUACUUUUACAUUUCUCAAGCUACAGCCUUCAAAUUUGGACCACUUGCAUAGUUUUGUGUACUGAAAUGACCUUUGACCUUUACAUUGACCUAGUGACCUACAUUCACAUUUUUAAGGUACAGCCUUCAAAUUUGGACUACCUGCAUAGUUUUGUGUACUGAAACAAACUUUGACCUUUACAUUGACCUAGUGACCUACUUUCACAUUUUUGAAGGUACAGGCUUCAAAUUUUGACCGCAUGCAUAGUUUUGUAUUCCGAAGUAAAAUUUGACCUGGAUUUUGACCUAGUGACCUACUUUUACAUUUCUCAAACUCAACCUUCAAAUUUGGAACACUUGCAUAGUUUUAUGUACCGAAAGGAACUUUGACCUUAAGAUUGACCUAGUGACCUUUUUUCACAUUUCUGUAGCUACAGGCUUCAAAUUUAGGACCACAUGCAUAGUUUUGUAUACCGAAACAAACUUUGACCUUGACAUUGACCUAGUGACCUACUUUCACAUUUUUGAAGGUACAGACUUCAAAUUUGGACCCCUGCAUAGAUUUGUGUUGUGUAUGGAAAUGAAAUUUGACCUUGAGCUAGUCAAUAAGUCUUGAAAUUUGGAACACUCAAAAAUGGCACAUUGGUGGGCGCCAAGAUCACUCUGUGAUCUCUUGUUCUGUCAUAUCUUUGUUACUAUUGCUUAUAUCUUACUGUAACUUCACAUAAACAUUGUCCAGUAUACAAACAAUAUAUGUGUAGGGCCUGAGCCCAUUAUACCCAAGGUCAAGGUCACCAAGGUCUUAUACUUAGGUUGUUUUUAAGGUUAAAGUUUUUCGGCAACCUUUGUUUUUUCUGUCGUAUCUUUGUUGCUGUUGCUUAUAUCUUACUGUAACUUCACAUAAACAUUGUCCAGUAUACAGACAAUAUAUGUGUAGGGGCUGAGCCCAUUAUACCCAAGGUCAAGGUCACCAAGGUCUUAUACUUAGGAUAUUUUUAAGGUUAAAGUUUUUCGGCAACCUUUGUUUUUAUUUCGUAUCUUUGUUACUAUUGCUUAUAUCUUACUGUAACUUUAUGUAAACAUUGUCCAGCAUACAAACAAAGAAUUUUCAGAGACUGGGCCCAUUAUACCCAAGGUUAAGGUCACCAUGGUCUUAUACUUAGGUUAUUUUUAAGGUUAAAGUUUUUCGGCAACCAUUGUUUUUCUGUCAUAUCUUUGUUACUUUUGCUUAUAUCAUACUGUAAGUUCACAUACACAUUGUCCAGCAUACAAACAAAGUAUGUGCAUGGGCUGGGCCCAUUAUACCCAAGGUCAAGGUUACCAAGAAGUUAUACUUUGAAUUAUUUUCUUGUAAAAUUUUUACAAGAGCUUCGUUUAUAGACAUAUCUUUGGUACUUUAAAAGUAAUGACUUGAAAUGAAAAAUAUUUGUUUAUAAUCAUCUGCAUGUGUGGCUACAUAACCCAUAACUCUAAUUGUGUUUUUGACAGAAUUAUGCCCCUUUUGUACUUAAAACUUUUUUGCAGUCUUUGCUUUCUGGAUAUAACUUUAAUGCAAUAUAAGAUAAAGACUUGAAACUUAAAAUGUAUCUUUAUCAUCAUCAUCUGCAUGUUUGGUAACAAUCCCCUUAACUCUGAUUUGUAUUUUUGACCGAAUUAUGCCCCUUUUAAACUUGAAUUUUUUUGGACAUAACUUUGGUACUAUAUAAGAUAAUGACUUGAAACUCAAAAUAUGUCUUUAUCAUUAUCAUCUGCAUGUGUUGUAACAAUCCUAUAAAUUCAGAUUUGUGUACUUGAUGGAAUUAUUCCCCUUGGUGUGUCUUCAUUUUGAUGUAGGUCUCUUAUUCAGACAUAUAUUCAGUCAAAUCCCCGAAUAGUGGAGCACGCUACAGACAGCUCUUGUUUCUAUUUCUUAUUUUUUUUAAACUUUGCCUCAUGUGCUAUCUACAUUUUCUUAAUAUUUAUGUCACAGGGUGUAAUAAUACACUACUCUGGCGUAGGUUCGAUGUUCAUUUAUUUGUACUCCAUAAUUAAUUGGCCUAAAACAUAUAUAUAUAAACAUAUAAACAUAUAUUAGACAAACGUAAAAGACAGCUAAAACAACAUAAUAUUGCACAUAGAUAUUCAAUCAACACGGAUCAAAUAUAAAAUACAGUACAUAAAUAAUAUAUCAAUACAUUAGGUAAAUUUUUACCACAGCGUCUGUAUAAAUUAUUUCAAUGGAAAUUGAAAUAAAGGAAAUGCAGCUGUAGUUUUUCUCUUCUUAGAUAAUAUGUCUUACUCGUACGAGUGGACUAGAGGAAGUGCGGGAUUGGAAAGGAGAUGUGUGCGCAGAAAAGACUGUUAAUCAAGAAGAAUAUAUUUCUUUCUCUCAUUCUUACUCCCAUACAAAAACAUGAAACGUACAAAAUGAUUAGACAUGUACAAUACAAUAGACUGACUGACAAGUGUUCACCAACUACACUGCUUCAGUGCACUUUUGCAAUUUCCGCCACUGGCAUAUAUUGACGAGUAUCACCUAUUCAAUACCAGAAGAUAAACACUAACGAAUAAAACCAACCAAAUCCGAUUAUGAUGCAUGUGCGAAGGUUAAGUGUUAAAAUUAUGGAACGCCACAUCGGACAUUACAAUUAAACUAUACUAAAUGUUUGACCAGUGACAUUUGCUUUCUUCAUACCUGUUUACAUUGAAUAUUAAAAUCUUUUAGUAACUGUA
Molecule: long non-coding RNA, 7665 nt
Organism: Mercenaria mercenaria
Lineage: Eukaryota; Metazoa; Mollusca; Bivalvia; Venerida; Veneridae
Exons: 2
Source: RefSeq, a predicted model, not a curated record